UACGAAGGGGGCUAAGCGUUGCUACGGAAUCACUGGGCGUAAAGGGUUGCGUAGGCGGGUCUUUAAGUCAGGGUGAAAUCCUGGAGCUCAACUCAGAACUGCCUUUGAUACUGAAGAUCUUGAGUUCGGGAGAGGUGAGUGGAACUGCGAAGUGUAGAGGUGAAAUUCGUAGAUAUUCGCAAGAACACCAGUGGCGAAGGCGGCUCACUGGCCCGAUACUGAACGCUGAGGCA
RNAcentral lists this ribosomal RNA (233 nucleotides) under uncultured bacterium. RNAcentral describes it as "partial 16S ribosomal RNA". It matches the Rfam family "Bacterial small subunit ribosomal RNA", at positions 524 to 753 of the family's 1533-position model. The record is from RNAcentral.